AGGGGCGUGGUGAGGAAGAUCCGACGUGGCCCCCCUUCGGAAUUCCAUUCAGCCAAACUCAACUCACGACCACCACGACCAUCAAAUCAGCCUCUAGUGGCUCAAACCAGCCCCACCUCCAUCCAUCCCAAAACCCUAAUUCCCUCAGUACUUGAAUAUUUUCACAGCUGAAUUUUUACCUGGAAUCCUUUUCAUUGUCCACUUCGUCCUUGAUUUUUUUUUUUUUUUUUUCGUGUUCUUUCUUUGUUUUAAUAUUCGAAAACUACCAUGGGGGGUGGUGGUGGAGUUGGGGGUGAUAUCUAUUGGGGAAGAAAGGAGGAAACUGAGUCUAGAGGAAUCACCGUGAUCUUCGCUUGGGCUUCGAUUCAAGAGCGGCACUUGAAGAGCUACAUCGAUUUGUACGCAUCCCUCGGAUGGAAUUGCCUCGUCUGUCAUGCCGAUUUUCUCAACGCAUUUUAUCCUGAGAAGGCCAUGUCUUUGGCAUUUCUUGUUAUCAAUGAGCUUGUUGAGGAGCUAAGGAUUAGGCCAUGUCCUAUAAUAUUUGUAGCGCUUUCUGGUAGUCCUAAAGCUUGCAUGUACAAGAUUUUUCAGGUUAUUGAUGGAACAUGUGGAGAGAGGUAUCCGGGAGAGUAUCAGUUGAUCAGAAAUUGCGUUUCUGGCCACAUCUAUGAUUCUAGUCCAGUAGAUCUUACAAGUGAUUUGGGUGCACGAUUCACACUACACCCCUCUCUUAGGAGAAUGCCUGGAUCAUCGAAAAUUUUUUCUUGGUUGGCGAAGGGCAUUACUUCUGGUUUGGAUGCAUUAUAUCUUACUAGAUUUGAAUCCCAAUGCGUUGAGUAUUGGCAGGCUUUGUACUCCUCUGUUAAUUUUAGCGCUCCUUUUCUCAUUAUUUGCUCAGAAAAGGAUGACCUUGCACCUUACCAAAUGAUCUGCAAUUUUGCUCAACAUUUACAAGAUCUUGGGGGUGAUGUUAAGCUUGUUAAAUUGAAUGGCUCCCCUCACAUGGGUCAUUACAAGCAUAAUCCAAUCCAGUAUAGGGCUGCUGUGUCCAGUAUGCUUGACCAGGCAGCUUUGGUUUAUUCCCAAAAGAUUCGACUACUGGGAGAAAGAACUAGCAUGGAAGGCAUGCAUGAUGAGAUAUCUGAGCUAAUCUGUGACCUCCAGAAUGCAGCUGUUACCUCAAACCAGAGCCUCACAAGAGUUGCACUAGGGCCAAGUGACCACUUCUUUUUGCCAAGUUCAGCAGAACAUCACUAUGGUAGAGAUUCUCCAUCUCUACAAGACGAACAAAAAGAAAGAUCAAUUUCUUUGCCUAACCCGUCAAGCAUCAAUGCACAUAGUGUGCUUGGCCAAAUCCUCUUUGAUGUUUGUGUUCCCAAGAACGUCGAAGGUUGGGAUAUAAAAUUUGGUGGCUCUCUGAACGGGCAGCCAUUUGCUUCUGUUUGUAGACCAUCCCCUUUCCAUGGAAUUAAAUGCAUUCGUCGGUCAAGACUUUAAUAUCUCCUACAUCAUGUGAAACUCUGGUAUAUGUUUGUAUGAAUUUGACACUUGUGAAUAGUAGUAGUGAAGUGGGGUUCCUUUGGACAUCUUGGGGAAAAACUGGAAUAGUUUCUGCACUUAGGCCAAUUCACAAAGUUCACGGCCAAAUGAGGAUAAGAACAUAUGUACAUCAUAGGUACAUGGAGAGUUGUAUGCUUGAAUAUGAUCUCCUGCCCACCUGUUCGAUAAGCUAUGCAAGUCUACAGAAAAAUGAGGAGAAGAUCCCAAGUACAGAGUUAGGUGUAUGCUUUGAUGACUCAGAGGUGAGGCUCCUUUGGUUACUGAGGGCUCCCAUGUUUGCAGAUUCAGAAGUGAGCCAGACUGUAUGUUAUUCUCUUCAAAUAUUCCGCUUGUCGUUCAAGCAUCAAUACUUGGUGCACGAGCUUCAAAUGAUCAAGCAUGAGGCUGGAGACCUGUACCAUGUAAAUAAGAGGAAAAUUUAGUGUUUGACAUGAGAAAGUCCGUCCAAGGUUGGAAUUUGUGAAGGUUGAAGAUGAAUUGUGCUGUAGGGAUGAUUGGAUGCGUCCAUGGGAAUUAGUGUUGAUUUACAUGAGCUCCGAGAUUUCCACGUCAAAAGACCUUCCAAUUCCCAGGGGAGCUGAAGCUUUGACCUUCAAAUUCCAAUCAGAGCUCAUUAAGCUGGUCAUGUGUAAAUCUAGAGAGUUGUUCAUUAUUUCAACAUACACGCACGAAAAUUGAGAAAUAUUUCUUCCACAAAAAGUUUAAUAAAACGAAUUACAUACAUACAUA
RNA transcript from Carya illinoinensis, 2289 nucleotides. RefSeq lists it as uncharacterized. The record is from RefSeq and is a predicted model, not a curated record. NCBI's taxonomy places the organism in Eukaryota, Viridiplantae, Streptophyta, Magnoliopsida, Fagales, Juglandaceae. The transcript is spliced from 8 exons.